RNAcentral lists this ribosomal RNA (350 nucleotides) under uncultured bacterium. RNAcentral describes it as "bacterial SSU rRNA". It matches the Rfam family "Bacterial small subunit ribosomal RNA", at positions 355 to 697 of the family's 1533-position model. The record is from RNAcentral.
UGGGGAAUAUUGGACAAUGGGCGAAAGCCUGAUCCAGCAAUACCGCGUGUGUGAAGAAGGCCUGAGGGUUGUAAAGCACUUUCAAUAGAGACGAAAAGCCUGAGAUUAAUACUCUCGGGUCUUGACUUAACCUAUAGAAGAAGCACCGGCUAACUCCGUGCCAGCAGCCGCGGUAAUACGGAGGGUGCAAGCGUUAAUCGGAAUUACUGGGCGUAAAGCGCUCGUAGGCGGUUUGUUAAGUCGGAUGUGAAAUCCCCGGGCUCAACCUGGGAACUGCAUUCGAUACUGGCAGGCUAGAGUAUAGUAGAGGCAAGUGGAAUUCCGGGUGUAGCGGUGAAAUGCGUAGAUAU